This 253-nucleotide ribosomal RNA is filed under the name uncultured bacterium. Its description in RNAcentral is "partial 16S ribosomal RNA". It matches the Rfam family "Bacterial small subunit ribosomal RNA", at positions 524 to 776 of the family's 1533-position model. The record is from RNAcentral.
UACGUAGGGGGCAAGCGUUGUCCGGAUUUAUUGGGCGUAAAGAGCGUGUAGGCGGCCUGAUAGGUCGGCUGUGAAAACUCGAGGCUCAACCUCGAGACGUCGGUUGAAACCAUCUGGCUAGAGUCCGGAAGAGGAGUGUGGAAUUCCCGGUGUAGCGGUGAAAUGCGCAGAUAUCGGGAAGAACACCCGUGGCGAAGGCGGCACUCUGGGACGGUACUGACGCUGAGACGCGAAAGCGUGGGGAGCGAACAGG